Molecule: ribosomal RNA, 294 nt
Filed under: uncultured bacterium
Lineage: Bacteria
Description: partial 16S ribosomal RNA
Rfam family: Bacterial small subunit ribosomal RNA
Source: RNAcentral
GUAGCGUGAAGGAUGACUGCCUAUGGGUUGUAAACUUCUUUUAUAAAGGAAUAAGUCGGGUAUGGAUACCCGUUUGCAUGUACUUUAUGAAUAAGGAUCGGCUAACUCCGUGCCAGCAGCCGCGGUAAUACGGAGGAUUCGAGCGUUAUCCGGAUUUAUUGGGUUUAAAGGGAGCGUAGAUGGAUGUUUAAGUCAGUUGUGAAAGUUUGCGGCUCAACCGUAAAAUUGCAGUUGAUACUGGAUAUCUUGAGUGCAGUUGAGGCAGGCGGAAUUCGUGGUGUAGCGGUGAAAUGC